RNAcentral lists this ribosomal RNA (429 nucleotides) under uncultured bacterium. Its description in RNAcentral is "bacterial SSU rRNA". It matches the Rfam family "Bacterial small subunit ribosomal RNA", at positions 355 to 776 of the family's 1533-position model. The record is from RNAcentral.
UGGGGAAUAUUGGACAAUGGGGGAAACCCUGAUCCAGCAAUGCCGCGUGUGUGAAGAAGGCCUGCGGGUUGUAAAGCACUUUCAGUAGAGAGGAAAAGCUUAGAGUUAAUAGCUCUGAGUCUUGACGUAACCUACAGAAGAAGCACCGGCUAACUCCGUGCCAACAGCCGCGGUAAUACGGAGGGUGCAAGCGUUAAUCGGAAUUACUGGGCGUAAAGCGCGCGUAGGCGGUCUGGUCAGUCGGAUGUGAAAGCCCCGGGCUUAACCUGGGAAUUGCAUUCGAUACUGCCAAACUAGAAUGUUAGAGAGGGAAGUGGAAUUUCCGGUGUAGCGGUGAAAUGCGUAGAGAUCGGAAGGAACACCAGUGGCGAAGGCGGCUUCCUGGCUAAACAUUGACGCUGAGGUGCGAAAGCGUGGGGAGCAAACAGG